UGCUCUGGAUUAGGCUUUGGCUUAAGGGAAUGUGGUGGCUGGUUUGAUCUCCUCUCCAGCCACUAAAACUUUCUCCAUAUCAGC
This 84-nucleotide microRNA precursor is filed under the name Pteropus vampyrus (large flying fox). Its description in RNAcentral is "miRNA (ENSPVAG00000028194.1)". Lineage: Eukaryota; Metazoa; Chordata; Mammalia; Chiroptera; Pteropodidae. The record is from RNAcentral.